RNAcentral lists this ribosomal RNA (253 nucleotides) under uncultured bacterium. Its description in RNAcentral is "partial 16S ribosomal RNA". It matches the Rfam family "Bacterial small subunit ribosomal RNA", at positions 524 to 776 of the family's 1533-position model. The record is from RNAcentral.
UACAUGGGGUGCAAACGUUGCUCGGAAUUAUUGGGCGUAAAGCGCACGUAGGCGGUUUGUUAAGUCGGAUGUGAAAUCCCUCGGCUCAACUGAGGAAGUGCAUCCGAAACUGGCAGGCUUGAGUACCGGAGAGGAUGGCGGAAUUCCCCAAGUAGAGGUGAAAUUCGUAGAUAUGGGGAGGAACACCGGUGGCGAAGGCGGCCAUCUGGACGGAUACUGACGCUGAGACGCGAAAGCGUGGGUAGCAAACAGG